RNAcentral lists this ribosomal RNA (210 nucleotides) under Triticum aestivum (bread wheat). RNAcentral describes it as "partial small subunit ribosomal RNA". Lineage: Eukaryota; Viridiplantae; Streptophyta; Magnoliopsida; Poales; Poaceae. The record is from RNAcentral.
AUGGAGAAGGAAGCGACGACGCCGCGGCCGGUGUGCGCGCAGGAGGCGCUCGCGCUGCUCAACUGCGCCGCCGAGAACCCCUACGACCGCGACAAGUGCCUCGCCCUCCUCGACGCGCUCCGGGAGUGCAUCGCCCAAAAGAAAGUGAAGAAAUUUUCGUUGGCUGAAGCAGGCUCCACCAGCACCACGGAAGCUCCAAAAAGCAAAUAG